UGCCGGCGACCGGCGGACGGGUGCGUAAUGCGUAUGUAACCUACCUUUGACAGGGGGAUAACAUCGAGAAAUUGGUACUAAUACCCCAUAACAUCACCGGAGGCAUCUUCGGUGGUUGAAAACUCAGGUGGUCAGAGAUGGACAUGCGUUGUAUUAGCUAGUUGGUGAGGUAACGGCUCACCAAGGCGACGAUACAUAGGGGGACUGAGAGGUCAACCCCCCACAUUGGUACUGAGACACGGACCAAACUCCUACGGAAGGCAGCAG
This 267-nucleotide ribosomal RNA is filed under the name uncultured bacterium. Its description in RNAcentral is "partial 16S ribosomal RNA". It matches the Rfam family "Bacterial small subunit ribosomal RNA", at positions 86 to 354 of the family's 1533-position model. The record is from RNAcentral.